AGGGCUAUAGCCAUUUGUAGCGGUUUGAAUAUCUUGGAGGGAAUAAUUUUUCCAGGAAGGUUUGAAAAGGAGCAAGUCAUCAGUGUCAAGAGCAGCAGCAGGUAGAACAGGGACCAUGUUGUCUUUUAUGCGUUUGCUCUUGCGCCUGGUUAGUUUAGGAACUCCUUUGAGAUGUGAGAAUGUAUUUCACCAGAUACUGGCGUUAAUGAAACGGAUCCUCUUUUAAAGAAAGAGGUUGUCAUGAACGUAAGUGACAAAGGAGACUGGCCGAGGAAGUCCUGUAUACCAAUACACUCUGCCCAAACAAUCAGGUCCCGUCAAACUGCUUUCUUAAUCACUACAUUCGUUGUCUGCUUUGCGGUCUGUGCGGUUAUCUACCAUCCAAACAAGGUUACACAGUUUGCAGUGGCGAUCCGAGCGAGAUUGGCGCACAAACUUUGAUACAAAGUUCAAUGGCAGAGACUCUCAUAUUAACCCCGUGAAAGUGUGUUCAUCAAAGAAAGCUUGAAGGGAGCUGUUUUAAAAAAGCUUGUCUCAGCUUUCAACAGGGCUCAGCUACAGCUUCGCAGAUCAGAUGAGUUUUCCUUGCUCUUUCUCUGUGUUCAUCUUCUUCCCAAUUUCUUAAUGACUGGUGGUGGUGCUUCAACUGUAAUAACAAGAAAUGGUCUGCUCAGUGAUCUUAUUUUUCCUCAUAGAAUAGUGUUAUAUAUAAUGGGGUUUGCUUUAGCUGACUGUGUAAUGUUUGUUUUUGGUCUAAAAAUGAUUCUUGGACAAAUAAUAAUCGUAAUUUAGUCUUAUAUACAUUUGUUCUGCUUCAAGAUAUGGUCAGAUAUUGAUCGAUAAACUUUGUUGAAAACAAAUGGAGAUUCUCGAAAGAGUAGAUUUAAGAGGCUACUUUAGGAGUUUUGCUUCUAGACUCGAUGAUGUGAACCAAUCUGCGCUUUGAAGAACAAAGGAAGAAAUGGAACACGCCACCAAGUUGAGAGAGAGCAACACAAAAAUACUUAUAACCACUCAAAGAUUUGAUUGAAUGUAUAUGCUUCCUGGUUACUCUUUGGACUCAUUUGAUUGAUAAAGCUUCCAAAUAUACGUGUGCUAAAUCUUAAACAUGGCAUUCAAUUACUUUAGCAGGAAAGACUCAAAGAUAUACGUGUGCUAACAUGCAAUGAAUCAUCCACCUUCAUUUUUUUUUGUGGUAAAAUCCAAAUGAAAAGGAAAUAAUGCUCAAAUUUUAAUUUAGUGAUGGAUUAGUCAUCAAAAUGUCAUUAUCACUUUGGUAUAUGUUUUGGUGUUUUUGGUUUGGUACUUAAGGUAUGUGGUUCCCGCUAACGAUAGAAUAAAGACGAGUGUUUUGAUACACAUAUAUGAUACACAUUAGGUGCUAAGGUCUCUCUACAUAUUUCUUGUUACACAAGUAACUCUCUCAUCACUUUUGAAAUUUACAGGCAAUUAUUGUCAGCCCUACCGGUUGGGCUAACGCAGCGACUAUAGAUGUGGUCUAUGAUCUGCUUCAUAUGAUGGGACGUGACGACAUACCAGUAGGUCUAGGGGACAUGCUAGCAUUAAACCAGUCUGACCCAACAUCUCCAUCCGUUGGAGAUUGCUUGUAUGCCAAGGCCAUUCCUCAAGGCUGUGGCGGUUUUCUUGAUUCCGACACUCUCUAUGGCCUCGCUCGUGACCUCCCAAGAAGCGCUCGUAGGUACUUAAAUAUGCACUGUAAUAAAUAGAGUAGUCUAUGUCGUUAUAUAUAUGAUACACAUUAGGUGCUAAGGUCUCUCUACAUAUUUAUUUACUAACACUGUUUCUCAGAUACAUUGCAGAGACCUCAGUGGCACAUGGAGCUCCGAGUAACACUGAUAGUCCUGGACUUAGACAACCUUUGGCACUUGAAGUUUGGCAACAUGUGACCAAAUCCGUUAGUGAAGUGUCUAAGAUCACUGUACUAACCAAUGGACCAUUGACUAGCUUAGCCAAGAUCAUCUCAUCAGAUAAAAACUUAACCUCACUUAUCAAGGUGAGAAUCUUCUGUUACUUUCUCUCGUUUGAAGAUCUUUAGUUAAGAGAACUUUUAUGUAAAUUUGCAGGAAGUUAACAUUGUGGGAGGACAUAAACAUUAACAAAUCAGACAGAGGGAACAUAUUCACUGUUCCUUCAAAUGCAUACGCUGAAUUUAACAUGUUUCUUGAUCCUUUAGCAGCUAAGACUGUUCUUGAAUCCGGUCUAAACAUCACAAUCAUCCCUCUAGCCACCCAACGCAACUUGACCUCUUUUGAGAUGAUGCUCAACAGUCUCAACUCUACUGAUAGAACACCUGAAUCUCAAUUCGUGCACCAGUUACUCGCUAGACUACAUGCUCUUCAUCAGGAUCACAGGAGCUACAAGCAUGUGGUAGAAAUCUCUCUAGUCUUCCGCUUCCUAACGGUUUAAUAUUCUCUGGUUUUUAAACAAACACUUAACUGUUGUUCCAGGGAAUGUUCUUAGGAGAGGUUCUUGGAGCAAUGGUCUUGGGAGGAGACCAUGCUGUGUUGAAGCCAAAACUACGAGAUGAGCAAGUUAAAGUGAUCGCAGAAGGGUCUGAAUCGAAAGACGGUCAGAUAUUGAUUGAUAAACUGCAUGGAAGACGAGUACAGAUACUCGAAAGCAUCGAUUCAAGAGGCUGCUACGAGAGUUUCGCUUCUAAGCUCAAUGACAAGAUACAAUCUGCAAUCAUAGGAAGCUUUGAAGAACAAAGGAAGGCAUGGAUCAACAUCACCUAGCAGAACACUCAGAAGAAAGAAACGGACCACACCACCAAGCAGAACGCUUAGAAAGAAGAAAUGGAUCACAUAACCAAUAAAGGAUCUGAGUAAGUAUAUGUGCUUACAUAUUAUUCUCUGGUUUUGGCAGAAAAAUAUUAUUUAGCAAUUUUAACAGGAAAAACAUGAUUUUGAAGUUUUAAAAGAACUCAAUUUCAAAAUUUUUGUAAAGAAAAUAUCUAAUAUUAAUAAUUAAUAUAAACUAGUUGUUUUUUCUAUUUAUAUUGAAAGAUAUUUAAAACUUUUAGAUUUUGAGAUGGAAAUGCAACAUCCAAACUGUACUUUUGUUUCAUCUCAAAUAUCAAUUUUUUUUUUUAUGUUGUGUAUUUUGUUUCCAGAUUCAGCAUUUAGAGCUGAUGCAACUAUGUCCAAAUGAACAAAUAUUUACAUCUAGAUGCAUGGCCUAAGUAUAUGUGUUUACAUAUUAUUCUCUCGAGGUAACUGUUGUAAUUAUACAUAUUCCAGUUAGAAUAAGUUCACCAACGAUAACAACUCUACAAGAGACAUCAACAUAGAGUUUUUAGAAGAGGCUAAGAGAACAAAGUCUAACAAGCCUUACAGCUACGCCUGCAAUAGCCAGGAAGCUCAGCAGAACCAACCAUGUACUCUGGGUUCUUCGUGCAUUCUCCAAGCACCGCCCAUCUCUCACAGCUCUCGUUCAUAUCAGUGCAGUUUCCACCGGGCGCCACAAUCCUGUCAAAUGAGUCCACGUGGAUCCACUUGGUCGCUGACCAUUUCUCUCCUUCGAUCACAGGACAUCCACCGUGAAGGCUCAACGGGUCAGGGAUUGCGUCAGGGCGGAGGUUGAAGAACAACAAAGCAUCCCCUUUCCUUGGUUUCACUGAUAAAAAAAAACAUUACACCAAUAAAACACACACACAGAAACCAAAAAGUCUGUUUUGUUUUGUUUUGUUUUUGGUUUCUUACCGGCGAUUCCUUUCUUAGCACAAUCAGAAAGGUCUUCUUGGUUCUCAGAUAGUACCCGACGAGAAGGUAUCUAUUAAAACAAAAACAGAUGUUUAUGUAAAGAGAGAACAAAUGAACCAAUACAAGAACUUCAUCUGACCUCUGCAUUGGGGAAGACGGUUUCUCCACCUCUUGUGACAUUAGAUAGAUACAUGAGAACCGUUGCUAUGCGGUGUCCACCACGGACAAUGUUGACUUUGUCAUGGAAGUAGUCGAAGUGAGCAUCGUAUUUUUGACCGUGCUCGUAUCUCAAUACCUGAAUGUCUUCUCCGUUCUCUGUCACAAACAGAAAAUUAAAUGACUUUCAUCUUGUCAAGCAUAUGAGAUUUCAAGUCUUGGUUAGUACCUUUAGGAAGAAAUGUCCAUGUGGAGAUCUUGUCUUCUAUACCGGCAACAAUGGGAUCCUGUGAUCAAACAGAGAGAAAAGAUAAAACUUCACAUAAAGACAAGUAAGAAUCAAGGAAGGGAAGCAAAGAGAGAGAGAAAGUUUGAACCUUUGCUUUGGGGAUGAAGGUGCCAGAGCUGGUUCGAACCUCGCUGAGCUUGCUCUCUCCACUAUCAUUAUCAGCGACAGCUGAUCUCUUAAGGCUCGCUUUUGCCUUUUUACCGACCAAAUGAAAAAUUAGAACCAGACAAGUUUCCAAAUUAAAGCUAAAGAUGAAAUGAAGAGAAACUCACAAGGGAAACGAUAUGAUCACAUUCCAAUUCCGUGAGGAACCCUUCAUACACAAACGCCCUGAAACAAAGAAAAACCAUAUAAUUCUCCGAUUCAUCAUUGAAAGGUUCAAACUUUCCCAAAGAUCACUCGAGGGCAAACCUGGGUUUCGAUGAAACCUGCUUGACUCUGGAAGGAUUAACAAUGGCGCUAGUGGAAGAUUGAAUCAGGACGGAGAAGAUGAUAGGGAAGAACAAUAACAAUACAUUAUGAGACAUCGACAUCGUAGUUGAUUAGAUCUAGAAUGAACGAGGGUCGGUACGAGGAAAGAGAAGACGGAACUAAGAAAAGACAUUGAUCUCGUAGUUUAUUUAUGCUCUUGUAAUAACGACAAAACAGUUUUGCAUGUCAGGUUUUUAGAAUGUUGUUAUACCGUACCGGAUCUUGCGUAUGCCCGGUCCAGCUCCAUUCAAUUUCAGAUAAUGUAAUUAUGCCUUGUCUUUUCUGUGAAAUGACCAUCUUAUACUAGUGUUGUAUUUGAUUUUUUGUAUUGAACAUUUUUCAAAUUUGAGAUUAUAUAUUUUAGUAAUAAACAUAUAGAACAAAUAGAAUAACAUUUAACAAACAAUUAGUCAAAUAAGGAAGAACACAACAUCAUCAAAUACCAUAUGCAACAAGUGAAAUCAUUCUCUUUGUAACUUAACAAGUAAGAUGUUUCAAGAGUCGUUAGAUGUUCCGAGAACAGUCUCCAUGUGUCGAUUAAUGUCGUUCAAAUAUUUUGUUGAGUUGUAUUCUUCGUUAUCCAAUAGUUCUUCUGAGUAUGUCCUCUGCAGUUUUGAGUUUUCUCCUUCUUUUAGCUUAUCUAAGCUGCACUUGUCUCCCUUCAGAAUCUCCACAACCUGUGUGUAUGUAUCAUAAAUUAUUAUAUAUGUGUGACCAUGUUAAUCACUUUUGCUAAAGAAAAGUGUGAAUGUUUUUGUUAUGCGUGCCUGGCUCAUGUGAGGCCGGUUCAUGGAGGUUUGGUGUAUACACAAGGACGCUAUGGAGACAAGACGGUCCAACUCUUCUAAGUCAUAGUCAUCUCCCAAAAUCGGAUCAACAAGUUCUUUGAUCUUGUUAUCUUUGAUCAAUGGCUUGGCCUACAAAAACAUAGAUAGUCCAUGUUGGUACUUUCACAAAGAAAUGGAUUAUUAAUAAGAAAUCUCAUGUAACCCUCUCAUAUUCCAUUUAAGUUUCCAAUAAGGAGAAUCUCAUGUAAGUCUUUCAUAUUUUAUAAAAUUCAAAAUUAUUAUAAUAUUAGAUAAGUAUUACAAAAGUUGAAAAAUCUACUUAAAUUUUGUAAAUAGAAAAUUUGGAUGAAUUUCUCAACUUUUUGAAACACCUUUUUAUAACAGUUUUUGGUUUGUGGAAAUGUAUGAGACUUCACAUACUAUCAUUAGAGACGGUCUAACAAUCUACUCACAUUGGUUCUGUGACCAAUAUCCAUGUCAGUACGUAUGAGAUAAGGGCUCUAUCUAGCUAUAGGGUUUAAGAGAGGGUUACACAUUACAUACCCACAUGACAACGCUAUGUUGUGAGCUGUCGAUGGCUUGUUUACCAGUAAUGAGCUCAAGAAGCAGUACACCAAAAGCAUAUACAUCUGUUUUCUCGUCUACAAUCCCGUGCAUGAAGAACUCUGGCGGAAGGUAACUGAUGUAUGAAACACAUAAGAGAUCAUUAUGUGAGAUUUAAAAAGUCCAAGAGAUGAGUGAAUCCAUGUAUAUAUGAUCUACAUCAAUGAGAGAUUCCAAACCCGAAUGUUCCUUCCACUUUGGAUACAGUAUGGUGAGUCCAUUGGUCUGGUAGCCAUUUCGCCAGCCCGAAAUCAGAUAUCUAAGAAAGAAAGGGAUACGGUUUUGAGUUAUUCUUAUUCAGAGCCGGAUUAGUGAUUGAAGUUUUAUAAACAUUUUUAAAUUAACUUUGUAUGAUAGCUCUUUAGAAUUUUGGAGCUGAACAUUUUAUCCGGCUGUGCCAGAAAUGAAUAUGUUCUUAUUUAAAAAUCAUAAGUUUGGAAGAAUAUAUAUUAGGGUAGGUAGAUCUUAGAUUUGUCUUAAUAAUCAUUACCUGAGCCUCAAAGUUCUCAGUGAGAAGGAUGUUAGAAGCUUUGAUGUCUUUAUGAAUGAUCCUUCUCUGACAACCUUCAUGGAGAUAGUACAGUCCCUCUGCUGUUCCCAUCGCCACUUUGUAUCUUAUGCUCCAGUUCAGUUUCUCUUUUGCCUCUACAAAAAUGUUAUAAAAAUCUCAGGUAGCUCUUUGAAUCAUCAAAUGAAUGAUUUACAAGAUUACUUGAGAAAACAUCAAAUAAGAAAAGAGAUUUAUUCACCGUAUAGCAAAGAAGCGAGGCUUCCAUUAGGAGAUAGCUCAAGAACAAGAUGCAUUCCUCCUUCAACACAAUAUCCAAUAAGCUUAGCAAUGUUUGGAUGGUCUACAUGAACUAUGAUCCCUAGUUCUGACAAAUAAUCCAUAGUCAUCUCUUCCGCAGACCCUCUAGUCAGUUUCUUUACGGCUACUAUUUGCCCAUCUGCCAUCUCUCCUUUUUUUACAUCCGCAUAUCCACCUUCUCCGAUCAGAUUCUCUGCCAUAAUAUCCACAAUAUUCAUGUCACAUUUUUCCGUAUAUAGACAAAAUGUAACAAAGAUUCUCAGAUGUAACAAAAUAACAUAAAAAAUGUAACAAAGAUUCUUUAACAAAAUAACAUACAGCAUGUAGCAAAGAUUCUUUAAAAAAAAAGAUUCUUAGAAGUAAGAUUUUCUAACCAGGGCUAUAGCCAUUUGUAGCGGUUUGAAUAUCUUGGAGGGAAUAAUUUUUCCAGGAAGGUUUGAAAAGGAGCAAGUCAUCAGUGUCAAGAGCAGCAGCAGGUAGAACAGGGACCAUGUUGUCUUUUAUGCGUUUGCUCUUGCGCCUGGUUAGUUUAGGAACUCCUUUGAGAUGUGAGAAUGUAUUGAAUGGCAUCGCUGAUGAUCCUUUCUUGAGUAAACGGUGGAAACCUCU
RNAcentral lists this long non-coding RNA (7446 nucleotides) under Brassica napus (rape). RNAcentral's name for it is "long non-coding RNA (BNAP_LNC001111)". The record is from RNAcentral. Lineage: Eukaryota; Viridiplantae; Streptophyta; Magnoliopsida; Brassicales; Brassicaceae.